Myotis davidii is the source of this 87-nucleotide non-coding RNA. The record is from Rfam. Lineage: Eukaryota; Metazoa; Chordata; Mammalia; Chiroptera; Vespertilionidae.
AGAGGCCCUCCAUGGCCUGGGCAGGAUGCUUGCCUCGUCGCCGCGGUGACAAAGCAAGCAUUCAGCCAGGCCACUCACGCUGCCCGC